Molecule: long non-coding RNA, 1132 nt
Organism: Suricata suricatta (meerkat)
Lineage: Eukaryota; Metazoa; Chordata; Mammalia; Carnivora; Herpestidae
Exons: 3
Source: RefSeq, a predicted model, not a curated record
UGGCACACAACAGCAGGCUCAGAACUUCAAAAUUCUCUCAUGAAGUUUCUGAACAUGAACCCACUGAGUUGUCGUCGGGGGACACGGGGAGGGCCUCAGGAGGACGCGACGGACUACUUCUGAGGCUUAUGACACGAUAGUGUGCAGCAUCCGCACCUGAGCCAUGUUUCAAAAUAUAAGAGAUGUCGCACUUAGUGGCACUGCCUUAGAGAACUCCGAAUGCUCGCUCCUUCCUGUGAUGAAGCUCAUCCCAGAGCUGCUCCCAUUCUAUUCUGUCGCCAUCCUCUGAGGUUAGUGGUAAUAAGCGCUUUAUCUUUAACGUGGCUGAAACUGAGGGAACACAUUAGUGCUGCUGUCUGCUGACCACGCCUCACAGGACCAGAGUAGCAUCCUGAUCUGAGCAGAGCCAACUGGAUUCUCUCUCCCAGGAAGUGACACUGAGGACUUCAUGACACCGCUCAGUUCUUCCUUGACUUGGACAUCACUCCUUUCCCUGCAUCGUUGCGGCACGUGGACACAGACCCAGAGAAGACGUACGUACUGUUUCUUACAAACCCAACCACGGAAGGAAAACUUCUUACCGACAAAGUAAGAUGUCGUACAACGUCUGCAGUGCAGGACGCGGUCCCUACAAGGAGAGUCUGCGCCUGGAGGAGCCUUCCAGACUGCGGUACAGAAAGCUGGUACCCGGCCGCAUACAGCAGCGUCGCGUUGCACUGGAAAUGCAGACGUAAGGACUGGGGGCUGCGAGGCAGGCGGAAUUUGCAGGCAGAUUAUAAGCCUAGAGAGAAAUGCUAGAGGGACAUCCAGAAACCUGCCCCACGGCCUUCUACAUCAGAGAUUUAUUUUUGCUUUGUUUUUCCUUUUAAAGGUUAAAACUAAACCUCGUGCUUUCUGGUCAUACCCAUUUGCCAUGAUGCACUGAUAGCUAAUAUGUACCAGCAGCUUAUUGUCUGUGAUCCCAGAAAUGGUAUAUGCAACCAGGCAUGUUUAUAAAUGAAUGCUGUACACACACAUCUAUCUUUUUUAUUCCACCACCAAACGUGUACAGUUUUAUACCUCAUACUUUUUAUCAUUUCUUGAUAUUCAUUCCUUGACCCAUUCAAUAAACACUGAGUGCCGUCACUUGUUA